This 301-nucleotide ribosomal RNA is filed under the name uncultured bacterium. RNAcentral's name for it is "partial 16S ribosomal RNA". It matches the Rfam family "Bacterial small subunit ribosomal RNA", at positions 509 to 807 of the family's 1533-position model. The record is from RNAcentral.
CAGUAGCCGCGGUAAUACGAAGGGGGCUAGCGUUGUUCGGAAUUACUGGGCGUAAAGGGCGCGUAGGCGGCCAUUCAAGUUAGAUGUGAAAGCCCUGGGCUCAACCUAGGAAUUGCAUUUGAUACUGUUUGGCUUGAGUUCGGGAGAGGUGAGUGGAAUUCCCAGUGUAGAGGUGAAAUGCGUAGAGAUCGGGAGGAACAUCAGUGGCGAAGGCGGCCAUCUGGGACAACACUGACGCUGAGGCACGAAAGCGUGGGGAGCAAACAGGAUUAGAUACCCGAGUAGUCCCUGUCUCUUAUAC